Molecule: ribosomal RNA, 468 nt
Filed under: uncultured bacterium
Lineage: Bacteria
Description: partial 16S ribosomal RNA
Rfam family: Bacterial small subunit ribosomal RNA
Source: RNAcentral
GACGAACGCUGGCGGCGUGCUUAACACAUGCAAGUCGAACGGAAAGGCCCUGCUUUUGUGGGGUGCUCGAUUGGCGAACGGGUGAGUAACACGUGAGUAACCUGCCCUUGACUUUGGGAUAACUUCAGGAAACUAGGGCUAAUACCGGAUAGGAUCUCCUGCUGCAUGGUGGGGGUUGGAAAGUUUCGGCGGGUGGGGAUGGACUCGCGGCUUAUCAGCUUGUUGGUGGGGUAGUGGCUUACCAAGGCUUUGACGGGUAGCCGGCCUGGGAGGGUGACCGGCCACAUUGGGACUGAGAUACGGCCCAGACUCCUACGGGAGGCAGCAGUGGGGAAUAUUGCACAAUGGGCGGAAGCCUGAUGCAGCAACGCCGCGUGCGGGAUGACGGCCUUCGGGUUGUAAACCGCUUUCGCCUGUGACGAAGCGUGAGUGACGGUAAUGGGUAAAGAAGCACCGGCUAACUACGUG